This 558-nucleotide ribosomal RNA is filed under the name uncultured bacterium. RNAcentral's name for it is "partial 16S ribosomal RNA". It matches the Rfam family "Bacterial small subunit ribosomal RNA", at positions 355 to 901 of the family's 1533-position model. The record is from RNAcentral.
UGGGGAAUAUUGCACAAUGGGCGCAAGCCUGAUGCAGCCAUGCCGCGUGUGUGAAGAAGGCCUUCGGGUUGUAAAGCACUUUCAGCGAGGAGGAAGGUGGUGAACUUAAUACGUUCAUCAAUUGACGUUACUCGCAGAAGAAGCACCGGCUAACUCCGUGCCAGCAGCCGCGGUAAUACGGAGGGUGCAAGCGUUAAUCGGAAUUACUGGGCGUAAAGCGCACGCAGGCGGUUUGUUAAGUCAGAUGUGAAAUCCCCGGGCUCAACCUGGGAACUGCAUUUGAAACUGGCAAGCUAGAGUCUCGUAGAGGGGGGUAGAAUUCCAGGUGUAGCGGUGAAAUGCGUAGAGAUCUGGAGGAAUACCGGUGGCGAAGGCGGCCCCCUGGACGAAGACUGACGCUCAGGUGCGAAAAGCGUGGGGAGCAAAACAGGAUUAGAUACCCUGGUAGUCCACGCUGUAAAACGAUGUCGAUUUUGAAGGUUGUGCCCUUGAGGCGUGGCUUCCGGAGCUAACGCGUUAAAUCGACCGCCUGGGGAGUACGGCCGCAAGGUUAAAACU